This 1403-nucleotide ribosomal RNA is filed under the name uncultured bacterium. RNAcentral's name for it is "16S ribosomal RNA". It matches the Rfam family "Bacterial small subunit ribosomal RNA". The record is from RNAcentral.
AGAGUUUGAUCCUGGCUCAGGAUGAACGCUAGCAACAGGCUUAACACAUGCAAGUCGAGGGGCAGCGGGGGAGUAGCAAUACUCCCGCCGGCGACCGGCGCACGGGUGAGUAACACGUAUGAAACCUGCCCGUAGCAGGGGGAUAAGCGGAAGAAAUUCCGUCUAAUACCGCGUAACAACCCGAGGAGGCAUCUCCUCGGGUUUAAAGGAGGCGAUUCCGGCUACGGAUGGUCAUGCGUCGCAUUAGCUAGUUGGCGGGGUAACGGCCCACCAAGGCGACGAUGCGUAGGGGUUCUGAGAGGAAGGUCCCCCACACUGGCACUGAGACACGGACCAGACUCCUACGGGAGGCAGCAGUGAGGAAUAUUGGUCAAUGGCCGCAGGGCUGAACCAGCCAAGUCGCGUGAGGGAUGACGGUCCUAUGGAUUGUAAACCUCUUUUGUCAGGGAGCAAAGGACGCCACGUGUGGUGUUUUGCGAGUACCUGAAGAAAAAGCAUCGGCUAACUCCGUGCCAGCAGCCGCGGUAAUACGGAGGAUGCGAGCGUUAUCCGGAUUUAUUGGGUUUAAAGGGUGCGCAGGCGGAAUGUCAAGUCAGCGGUAAAAUUUCGGGGCUCAACCCCGUCGUGCCGUUGAAACUGGCGUUCUUGAGUGAGCGAGAAGUAUGCGGAAUGCGUGGUGUAGCGGUGAAAUGCAUAGAUAUCACGCAGAACUCCGAUUGCGAAGGCAGCAUACCGGCGCUCAACUGACGCUCAUGCACGAAAGCGUGGGUAUCGAACAGGAUUAGAUACCCUGGUAGUCCACGCAGUAAACGAUGAAUACUAACUGUCCGGGCCGAUUGAGGUCUGGGUGGUACAGCGAAAGCGUUAAGUAUUCCACCUGGGGAGUACGCCGGCAACGGUGAAACUCAAAGGAAUUGACGGGGGCCCGCACAAGCGGAGGAACAUGUGGUUUAAUUCGAUGAUACGCGAGGAACCUUACCCGGGCUCAAACGACGGAUGAAUGUUUCUGAAAGGAGGCAGCCCUUCGGGGCAUCCGUCGAGGUGCUGCAUGGUUGUCGUCAGCUCGUGCCGUGAGGUGUCGGCUUAAGUGCCAUAACGAGCGCAACCCCCAUCGCCAGUUACCAGCAAGUAAAGUUGGGGACUCUGGCGAGACUGCCGGCGCAAGCUGUGAGGAAGGCGGGGAUGACGUCAAAUCAGCACGGCCCUUACGUCCGGGGCGACACACGUGUUACAAUGGCAGGUACAGAGAGAUGCGAUGCGGCGACGCAGAGCGGAACUUCAAAGCCUGUCUCAGUUCGGAUUGGAGUCUGCAACCCGACUCCAUGAAGCUGGAUUCGCUAGUAAUCGCGCAUCAGCCACGGCGCGGUGAAUACGUUCCCGGGCCUUGCACACACCGCCCGUCA